GCUUUAUCAUGAUGAAACACCAGUUCUCAUACAAUCACUGAAAUUAAGCAAUGUUUAGCUUGGUCAGUACCUAGUUGGGUGACUGCUUGGGAAUACCAGGUGCUGUAAG
Molecule: non-coding RNA, 109 nt
Organism: Acanthosepion pharaonis
Lineage: Eukaryota; Metazoa; Mollusca; Cephalopoda; Sepiida; Sepiidae
Source: the annotation of a GenBank genome assembly